GGAUUCGUAGCUCAGUGGUAAGAUUGUCUCCUCUUGCAUGAUUUGUAGUUAUACUCCCUCGCUAACUCAGAACUUCAGGUAGAGCGAGAGAUUGCAGAUCUCUAGGUCACGUGUUCGAACCACGUCGGAUCCU
This 133-nucleotide transfer RNA is filed under the name Phialophora macrospora. Its description in RNAcentral is "tRNA-Cys (GCA) (tRNA-Cys-GCA-1-1)". Lineage: Eukaryota; Fungi; Ascomycota; Eurotiomycetes; Chaetothyriales; Herpotrichiellaceae. The record is from RNAcentral.